This is a long non-coding RNA of Colius striatus (speckled mousebird), 328 nucleotides long. RefSeq lists it as uncharacterized. Lineage: Eukaryota; Metazoa; Chordata; Aves; Coliiformes; Coliidae. The transcript is spliced from 4 exons. The record is from RefSeq and is a predicted model, not a curated record.
ACGGCUGAGGAGAAGGAGCAGGAGCAGCAGAGUUACAGCCUCUGGCUCAAGGGGCAGGGAGCAGCUCCCCCAGAGCCUCUGCAGGACCUGCUGCCCCUGCAGCAGUUCUGGGCAGACCCAGCCCUGGAGCCCAGCGAGCGCUUCCUGCGGGAUUUCAUCCUGGAGCAGCGCUACAGGGAGCAGCAGGACGAGGAGGAGGAGGAGGAGGAGGCUGAAGGCCCCCCAGCUGUGGUGGAUUCCUCGGAGGAGGGGGAGCUGUUCCUGGCCAGGCAGCAGGAGUUUGAGCUGAGCUACAGCAGCCGGCCCCCAGGAGCAUGGAGAGGGGCAG